RNAcentral lists this ribosomal RNA (1144 nucleotides) under uncultured bacterium. Its description in RNAcentral is "bacterial SSU rRNA". It matches the Rfam family "Bacterial small subunit ribosomal RNA", at positions 242 to 1399 of the family's 1533-position model. The record is from RNAcentral.
UAGCUAGUUGGUGAGGUAAAAGCCCACCAAGGCAACGAUCAGUAGCCGGCCUGAGAGGGUGAUCGGCCACAUUGGGAUUGAGACACGGCCCAGACUCCUUCGGGAGGCAGCAGUGGGGGAUAUUGCACAAUGGGGGAAACCCUGAUGCAGCAACGCCGCGUGAGUGAAGAAGUAUUUCGGUACGUAAAGCUCUAUCAGCAGGGAAGAAUAAUGACGGUACCUGACUAAGAAGCCCCGGCUAACUACGUGCCAGCAGCCGCGGUAAUACGUAGGGGGCAAGCGUUAUCUGGAUUUACUGGGUGUAAAGCGAGUGCAGGCGGUUCAAUAAGUCUGAUGUGAAAGCCUUCGGCUCAACCGGAGAAUUGCAUCAGAAACUGUUGAACUUGAGUGCAGAAGAGGAGAGUGGAACUCCAUGUGUAGCUGUGGAAUGCGUAGAUAUAUGGAAGAACACCAGUGGCGAAGGCGGCUCUCUGGUCUGCAACUGACGCUGAGGCUCGAAAGCAUGGGUAGCGAACAGGAUUAGAUACCCUGGUAGUCCAUGCCGUAAACGACCAUAAUGAGUGUAGGGGAGGUUUCCUCCCUCUCAGUGCUGCAGCUAACGCAUUAAGCACUCCGCCUGGGGAGUACGACCGCAAGGUUGAAACUCAAAGGAAUUGACGGGGGGCCCGCCCAAGCGGUGGAAGCAAUGUGGUUUAAUUCGAAGCAACGCGAAGAACCUUACCAGGUCUUGACAUCCAGUGCAAACCUAAGAGAUUAGGUGUUCCCUUCGGGGACGCUGAGACAGGUGGUGCAUGGCUGUCGUCAGCUCGUGUCGUGAGAUGUUGGGUUAAGUCCCGCAACGAGCGCAACCCUUGUCAUUAGUUGCCAUCAUUAAGUUGGGCACUCUAAUGAGACUGCCGGUGACAAACCGGAGGAAGGUGGGGAUGACGUCAAGUCAUCAUGCCCCUUAUGACCUGGGCUACACACGUGCUACAAUGGACGGUACAACGAGAAGCGAACCUGCGAAGGCAAGCGGAUCUCUUAAAGCUGUUCUCAGUUCGGACUGUAGGCUGCAACUCGCCUACACGAAGCUGGAAUCGCUAGUAAUCGCGGAUCAGCACGCCGCGGUGAAUACGUUCCCGGGCCUUGCACACACCGCCCGUCA